Molecule: long non-coding RNA, 4117 nt
Filed under: Brassica napus (rape)
Lineage: Eukaryota; Viridiplantae; Streptophyta; Magnoliopsida; Brassicales; Brassicaceae
Description: long non-coding RNA (BNAP_LNC015646)
Source: RNAcentral
UGCAACACGAGGACAUCCCGGGAGGUCACCCAUCCUAGUACUACUCUUGCCCAAGAACCCUUAACUGCGGAGUUCUAAUGGGAUCCGGUGCAUUAGUGCUGGUAUGAUCGCACCCUUUCUGACUGUUUUUUUUCUAGCGGGAUAGUGCAUUGAGGUUAAAUGCGUUAAGAAAGCAUCAAAAACAACCUGAGAAUCCGAUUGGGAUCCUUUUAUACGUCCCUUACCUUUCUGUAGCCCGUUACGCCUAUUCACCGCCCUUUAUGGUUUCUGGGCGUUUCCGAAAUGGUGCUAUGGGCGACGUAGUUCCUCACGGUUCAAAAGUUAUGAGGUUUCCAAGUUUAGGCUCGUUUUAGGCCGAAAAAAAAAAUAAAAAUGGGUGCAACACUAGGACUUCCCGGGAGGACACCCAUCCUAGUACUACUCUCGCCCAAGCACGCUUAACUGCGUUGUUCUAAUGGGAUCCGGUGCAUUAGUGCUGGUAUGUUCGCACCCGUUAGUACAUCACUCGUGUUUCCAUAUAUCAUUUGUCUCGGCCAAUCUAAGUGUAAGGCCGUAAAAAAAAAAAUGGUUGCAACACGAGAACUUUUCGGGAGGAAACCCAUCCUAGUACUACUCUCGCCCAAGCACGCUCAACUGCGGAGUUCUAAUGGGAUCCGGUGCAUUAGUGCUGGUAUGAUCGCACCCGUUAGUACAUCACUCGCGUUUCCAUAUAUCAUUUGUCUCGGCCAAUCCAAGUGUAAGGCCGUGGGGCCCACAUGAUUUUCUUGCCGUUUUGUUUCGAGCGAAAAAGUGCAUCGAGGUUAACGGCGUUAAGAAAGCAUCAAAAACACCUUGAGAAUCCGCUUUCGAUCUUUUUUACGUGCCAUAACUUUCCGCAGCCCGUUUGAGGGUCAAAACGGCUGAAUUUGAGCCCGAAAAAUUGCGCCCCCUAUUCACCGCCCAUUAUGGUUUCUGGGGCUUUCCGAAAUGGUGCUAUGGGCGACGUAGUUCCUCACGGUUCAAAAGUUAUGAGGUUUCCAAGUUUAAACUCGUUUUAGGCUAAAAAAAAAUUAAAAAAUAAAAAGGGGUGCAACACGAGGACUUCCCGGGAGGUCACCCAUCCUAGUACUACUCUCGCCCAAGCACGCUUAACUGCGGAGUUCUGAUGGGAUCCGGUGCAUUAGUGCUGGUAUGAUCGCACCCGUCAGUACAUCACUCUCGUUUCUAUAUAUCCUUUUCCCGGCCAAUCCAAGUGUAAGGCCGUGGGGCCCACAUGAUUUUCUUGCCGUUUUGUUUCGAGCGAAAAAGUGCAUCGAGGUUAACGGCGUUAAGAAAGCAUCAAAAACACCUUGAGAAUCCGCUUUCGAUCUUUUUUACGUGCCAUAACUUUCCGCAGCCCGUUUGAGGGUCAAAACGGCUGAAUUUGAGCCCGAAAAAUUGCGCCCCCUAUUCACCGCCCAUUAUGGUUUCUGGGGCUUUCCGAAAUGGUGCUAUGGGCGACGUAGUUCCUCACGGUUCAAAAGUUAUGAGGUUUCCAAGUUUAAACUCGUUUUAGGCUAAAAAAAAAUUAAAAAAUAAAAAGGGGUGCAACACGAGGACUUCCCGGGAGGUCACCCAUCCUAGUACUACUCUCGCCCAAGCACGCUUAACUGCGGAGUUCUGAUGGGAUCCGGUGCAUUAGUGCUGGUAUGAUCGCACCCGUCAGUACAUCACUCUCGUUUCUAUAUAUCCUUUUCCCGGCCAAUCCAAGUGUAAGGCCGUGGGGCCCACAUGAUUUUCUUGCCGUUUUGUUUCGAGCGAAAAAGUGCAUCGAGGUUAACGGCGUUAAGAAAGCAUCAAAAACACCUUGAGAAUCCGCUUUCGAUCUUUUUUACGUGCCAUAACUUUCCGCAGCCCGUUUGAGGGUCAAAACGGCUGAAUUUGAGCCCGAAAAAUUGCGCCCCCUAUUCACCGCCCAUUAUGGUUUCUGGGGCUUUCCGAAAUGGUGCUAUGGGCGACGUAGUUCCUCACGGUUCAAAAGUUAUGAGGUUUCCAAGUUUAAACUCGUUUUAGGCUAAAAAAAAAUUAAAAAAUAAAAAGGGGUGCAACACGAGGACUUCCCGGGAGGUCACCCAUCCUAGUACUACUCUCGCCCAAGCACGCUUAACUGCGGAGUUCUGAUGGGAUCCGGUGCAUUAGUGCUGGUAUGAUCGCACCCGUCAGUACAUCACUCUCGUUUCUAUAUAUCAUUUUCCCGGCCAAUCCAAGUGUAAGGCCGUGGGGCCCACAUGAUUUUCUUGCCGUUUUGUUUCGAGCGAAAAAGUGCAUCGAGGUUAACGGCGUUAAGAAAGCAUCAAAAACACCUUGAGAAUCCGCUUUCGAUCUUUUUUACGUGCCAUAACUUUCCGCAGCCCGUUUGAGGGUCAAAACGGCUGAAUUUGAGCCCGAAAAAUUGCGCCCCCUAUUCACCGCCCAUUAUGGUUUCUGGGGCUUUCCGAAAUGGUGCUAUGGGCGACGUAGUUCCUCACGGUUCAAAAGUUAUGAGGUUUCCAAGUUUAAACUCGUUUUAGGCUAAAAAAAAAUUAAAAAAUAAAAAGGGGUGCAACACGAGGACUUCCCGGGAGUUCACCCAUCCUAGUACUACUCUCGCCCAAGCACGCUUAACUGCGGAGUUCUGAUGGGAUCCGGUGCAUUAGUGCUGGUAUGAUCGCACCCGUUAGUACAUCACUCGCGUUUCCAUAUAUCAUUUGUCUCGGCCAAUCCAAGUGUAAGGCCGUGGGGCCCACAUGAUUUUCUGACUGUUUUUUUUCUAGCGGGAUAGUGCAUCGAGGUUAAUGGCGUUAAGAAAGCAUCAAAAACUACCUGAAAAUCCGAUUGGGAUCCUUUUUUACGUCCCUUAACUUUCUGCAGCCCGUUUGAGGGUCAAAACGGCUGAAUUUGGGCCCGAAAAAUUGCUACGCCUAUUCACCGCCCUUUAUGGUUUCUGGGCGUUUCCGAAAUGGUGCUAUGGGCGACGUAGUUCCUCACGGUUCAAAAGUUAUGAGGUUUCCAAGUUUAGACUCGCUUUAGGCUGAAAAAAAAAAUAAAAAAAAUAAAAAUGGGUGCAACACGAGAACUUUUCGGGAGGACACCCAUCCUAGUACUACUCUCGCCCAAGCACGCUCAACUGCGGAGUUCUAAUGGGAUCCGGUGCAUUAGUGCUGGUAUGAUCGCACCCGUUAGUACAUCACUCGCGUUUCCAUAUAUCAUUUGUCUCGGCCAAUCCAAGUGUAAGGCCGUGGGGCCCACAUGAUUUUCUGAUGGGCGACGUAGUUCCUCACGGUUCAAAAGUUAUGAGGUUUCCAAGUUUAGACUCGUUUUAGGCCGAAAAAAAAAUAAAAAUGGGUGCAACACUAGGACUACCCGGGAGGACACCCAUCCUAGUACUACUCUCGCCCAAGCACGCUUAACUGCGGAGUUCUAAUGGGAUCCGGUGCAUUAGUGCUGGUAUGAUCGCACCCGUCAGUACAUCACUCUCGUUUCUAUAUAUCCUUUUCCCGGCCAAUCCAAGUGUAAGGCCGUGGGGCCCACAUGAUUUUCUUGCCGUUUUGUUUCGAGCGAAAAAGUGCAUCGAGGUUAACGGCGUUAAGAAAGCAUCAAAAACACCUUGAGAAUCCGCUUUCGAUCUUUUUUACGUGCCAUAACUUUCCGCAGCCCGUUUGAGGGUCAAAACGGCUGAAUUUGAGCCCGAAAAAUUGCGCCCCCUAUUCACCGCCCAUUAUGGUUUCUGGGGCUUUCCGAAAUGGUGCUAUGGGCGACGUAGUUCCUCACGGUUCAAAAGUUAUGAGGUUUCCAAGUUUAAACUCGUUUUAGGCUAAAAAAAAAUUAAAAAAUAAAAAGGGGUGCAACACGAGGACUUCCCGGGAGGUCACCCAUCCUAGUACUACUCUCGCCCAAGCACGCUUAACUGCGGAGUUCUGAUGGGAUCCGGUGCAUUAGUGCUGGUAUGAUCGCACCCGUCAGUACAUCACUCUCGUUUCUAUAUAUCCUUUUCCCGGCCAAUCCAAGUGUAAGGCCGUGGGGCCCACAUGAUUUUCUUGCCGUUUUGUUUCGAGCGAAAAAGUGCAUCGAGGUUAACGGCGUUAAGAAAGCAUCAAAAACACCUUGAGAAUCCGCUUUC